Long non-coding RNA from Gopherus evgoodei (Goodes thornscrub tortoise), 1250 nucleotides. RefSeq lists it as uncharacterized. Lineage: Eukaryota; Metazoa; Chordata; Testudines; Testudinidae. The transcript is spliced from 2 exons. The record is from RefSeq and is a predicted model, not a curated record.
CUUUAAACCACGAUUUGAGGACUUCAAUAGCUCAGACACAGCUUUGUUACUCUAGAAGUAAACAAGAAAACUGAACAGCCCUAUGAAACCCCCUUACAACAAACAAGGAUUUAAUGUUUGAAGGAAGUGGCUGGUAAACAUUCAAGGUGUUCUGCAUCGAAAGCGAACUCUCGAGACAGAGCUGUGUGAAUUCAGUCCUCUGACCUCGCAAGAAGAAUUUGCCUAGGCCAGAGCCUUAGCUAGCAUUCAUUACUAUUGCUCCAUUGGUGUCAGUGGGGCCAGACCCAUAGCUGGCUGCAGGUUUAUUGACACCAGCUGGGAAUCUGGCCCCCUUAAGUUCAACAGAGCUUUAGACGACCCUGAAAUGUACUGACACAAAAAGAACGGAGCACCUCUGCCCCGUGAAGCACUCAAACCCCCACUGCCUUACCUCAGUUUGCAGCUCUCUCCGGUGCCAGAUGUGCUGGUCUCUGGUGCUUAGGAUUAUUGGUAAACGUGCCACUAAUCAGCCUGGUGCUGCCUGCAGAUGGGCCCCUGGCUCAGGGCUCCAUUCCUGGAGCCACUGCCUUGAGAAGGGGGAUGGCUGGGUUUCCUUUAAAAGCAGCUACCUGGGUCCCCCCUGUUUUCCUCCCCUCUUUGUUCAUCUUAAAAUGGCAGCCCAGGAUUAAUCAUUACUAGGUGCACAAUCAUUAAAAACAACCCGCCAGCCGCCUCCUCCCGCUGUGGCCAGGCCGAAGAGAAAGCUUGUAACGGCAGGAACCUGGCACAGCUGGAGUAAAAAACUUGGCAGCAGCAGACCUAGCGCUUAAAUCUCAGCUCCCUGUUCCACCGUGGAUAAUAAAUCGCCUUGUGUGCAAGACUCUGAUCAAAGCUUGCUGCGUGGCUGGUUCAACUUUAACUCCUUCCGUUUGUCCUGCACAUGGACCCGCGGGGGAACAGCCCCCUAUGCAAGGUUGAGCUGCCUCUCCCUGACUCGGUCAGGCCCAAGGGGUCCUGCCAAGCCGCAAGGAUCCCAGCCCGGCACUUGGAUUUUACUCCUCUUUAAGUCUCGCUCCCUCCUUCGAGUGUGCACCCCGGCCCUUUGUGGGUGCAAUGAGUUUGUGGGGCCCUGGCCUUUGCAGUCAGAGGGUGUCUCAGCUGAACAGCCCACAGGGCUUGAAGUUAAACAUGGGGCAUGUUGGCAGGAUUGGGGCCUUAACUAGCCCCAGAUGCCUCGUUGUUUCCAAUUUCUUGGAGGUGUUUUUUUUUUU